This 2614-nucleotide long non-coding RNA is filed under the name Numida meleagris (helmeted guineafowl). RNAcentral's name for it is "lncRNA (ENSNMEG00000005815.1)". Lineage: Eukaryota; Metazoa; Chordata; Aves; Galliformes; Numididae. The record is from RNAcentral.
AUGCAUCUCUUCAGUCGUGUACUUCAGGGUGAUAUUUACAUCAAUUACCAUGACAUUCUCAAGAAAUAUUUUUUUCAAGAUUUUGUGUAUCAUUUACCACAAGCUUUUUUUUCUUCUUUUUCCAUUUUUCAUAAGACUCAGGAAGGACAAAUACAGCCCAGUCUGUGCAGGGGCAAGGGAAGUGGAACGGCCGCAGAACCCCAUGACAUCAGCACCUGGUGGCUCAGCACGUUCUCACCUCUCCUUCUCCCUGUGAAUCUCCAUCCAAGCACAUGCCUCACAGCUUGUCAUCACCCAGGAGUAAGAGACUGCGUGGGGCUGAAGACCUUUCAGUUGAGGAGAGUUCCGUAUCAACCAGUCAAGAUGGCAAAGCUGAUGGCAUCAGGUAAUUACUCAAGUAUUCUGUGGUCAGACUGAGCUGCAAGAUGAAAGCUGCUGAGUUAUCUGGAUGCACCUAGUGAGGAAAAUGGAGGAGCGCUUAUCUUGAAGUUACCUAACACCGUGGAGUCAAACCAAUUUGACAAAGGUGGAAUCAAAAACUCCUGAUAAAUAACAGGAUUUCUACUAGGUCUAUAAGAGAAUUGGUGAAGAUAAGUAAGGAAAGCCACUUUGCAUUAGAAUACACAGUUUAAUUAAAGUCAAAAUGAGUUUAUUUCACCACUAUGAUUUUAGUUAAAAAAAAAUUCAAAAUAUCUAAUUUGGUCUUUUAUAUCUCAUUUUUAUAAUGCCAAAAUGAAUUAAAAGUUUCACAUAAACCAUGUUUUCCACAUUUCUGCAUUUGUUUCACUAAGUAUGAUAGUCCUACUACGUUGUCUCUGUAUUUCCUGUAUUAUAAUUUUUUUAACAUCAUUUUAAAGUAAUUCAUAUGGUGUCAUAUAUGUAUGUAUAUUAUUCAUUCAUUGCAAUUAGCAUUGAUACAGGACUACCCACUUUAAAAUUAACAAAACAUUUUUGCCUGCUCUUGUAACAAUUUGUAGCAAUCUUAUAGAGUGAGAGUCUCUAAGAUUUGCAUGAUCUCAAACAGAUUUAAUAUAUAUAUUUUCUCUGAAAGACGUUUUGUCUAUUUAUUCCUAGUCAUAACAAUCUCAAGUAUUCAAGCACCCACCAGAACACAUAAUCAUAUAGUAAGAACAUUUGCCAAAAUAUUUUUUUUCCAGAUCUGCAUGGCAUUUUACAUUCAGUUUUUUUGUAUUCCUUACAUACAGCUAUGUAACAGAGUUACAUUUGAAUGAAUAGUUGAAGUCACCGUACUGAUCAUUCUACAGCUCUGAUUUCAUCUGUCACAUUAAAUUUAUCAUUCUCAAAUUCCCAUUUCCCUGCUUUGUAAGUUUAUAUUGGUCUCACUAGCUUUGUACCUGACCAAUGAUUCUGCAAGAAUAUUAAACUACUAGUUUAAUCUUGACAUUGUAAUUGACAAUUUCAUUGUAAAUUGGGCCACUUACUCGAAUCCAUCUCUACUGACACAAGUCUAAUUAAACUGACUGUUUAAUCCUUGGCAACUUGCUAUUUCCCAGAGGUGAGUCUAGAGCUUUUUGCAGAUUUGUGUUUCUCCUCUGUCUUUGAUACUUAAUGAUGAUUUCUACCAUCAUCUCAACGUUUCUUAUAUGAAUUCUUGGUACAUAGUUUACCUUCUUGCAAGCAACAUUCCUUCAAGAACCACCUGUGUUUUGAUUUGUAUCAUCCAGAAAAUAGCAGAGGAUGUAAAAUUUAAAAGUAAAGUGUACUAGACUGUCCUACAUGUAAAAUUAUUUUACUUUGGCUCACAGCCACGCAGCCACAAGAGAAGACAAUGUGCGUCACAAAUGUACCUAAAGGUUGAAUCAGAAAUGAGAAAUAUUUUGUGUUCUGAUUUGUGCAUUUUGGUACACACCUUCGCUAAAGAUAUAACCCCCCCUACCCUCUGUCUAAAUGAUUCUUAUUUCCUGAUUUACUUUAUAUUGUAACCAUCUUUUAACAAGGUCUUAUCAUUCAAGUUUCCUCACCAGGGAAGUCCAAGUGCCAGGCCACGCACUUCUCAUUUUCAGGAACUGGUUUGUUCGCUUAUCCUCCUUUCCUAUCCACAAGCAUGUCCGAUCAAGGUGAGGACUUCUUCACAACCUGCAAAAUUGCUAACUAAAAAGAGGUGUAUCUGAUACCUUAUUAUAACUAGGUCUGUCUUCUCAUUCACCAUGGCACAGGAAACAGUUCACGUUAGCACCUGAACAAGGAUAAUCUCUGAAGUUUAUGGCCAUUAUAUCCAUCGUCAGCAGUAAAGAAGUAAAGGAGAAAACAAACAAACAAGUGAACAUAAACCAGACAGUAAUAAUGUACACAUCUUCAACUUGAACUAGGGCUGCAAUUUUUUGACUGAAAAAGUGGCUCGAAAUCAUAAUUUCAAAUAACUGAAAGUAGUACUCAUUGCAAGAAACAUGGCAAUAACACCGUGCCUCUAAAUUUCAGCAACUACAGCUACUACUCAAAAAGCAUGGGUAGGACAUCGUGUUGAGUUGCUUUGGUGUUUAUCCAGCUAGGAGUAUGCCAUUAAAAUCAAGUGACAGUUUCAUAAGCCUAAAGCCUUUCUAGGUUCACAAGUUCCCUGAUUCACUUCUCAAUAAAAUUACAGCUGAACAAUGCA